RNAcentral lists this ribosomal RNA (781 nucleotides) under Micromonospora schwarzwaldensis. RNAcentral's name for it is "bacterial SSU rRNA". It matches the Rfam family "Bacterial small subunit ribosomal RNA", at positions 66 to 862 of the family's 1533-position model. Lineage: Bacteria; Bacillati; Actinomycetota; Actinomycetes; Micromonosporales; Micromonosporaceae. The record is from RNAcentral.
GCGGAAAGGCCCUUCGGGGUACUCGAGCGGCGAACGGGUGAGUAACACGUGAGCAACCUGCCCUAGGCUUUGGGAUAACCCUCGGAAACGGGGGCUAAUACCGAAUAUGACCUCGCAUCGCAUGGUGUGUGGUGGAAAGUUUUUCGGCCUGGGAUGGGCUCGCGGCCUAUCAGCUUGUUGGUGGGGUGAUGGCCUACCAAGGCGACGACGGGUAGCCGGCCUGAGAGGGCGACCGGCCACACUGGGACUGAGACACGGCCCAGACUCCUACGGGAGGCAGCAGUGGGGAAUAUUGCACAAUGGGCGGAAGCCUGAUGCAGCGACGCCGCGUGAGGGAUGACGGCCUUCGGGUUGUAAACCUCUUUCAGCAGGGACGAAGCGUAAGUGACGGUACCUGCAGAAGAAGCGCCGGCCAACUACGUGCCAGCAGCCGCGGUAAGACGUAGGGCGCGAGCGUUGUCCGGAUUUAUUGGGCGUAAAGAGCUCGUAGGCGGCUUGUCGCGUCGACCGUGAAAACCUGGGGCUCAACCCCAGGCCUGCGGUCGAUACGGGCAGGCUAGAGUUCGGUAGGGGAGACUGGAAUUCCUGGUGUAGCGGUGAAAUGCGCAGAUAUCAGGAGGAACACCGGUGGCGAAGGCGGGUCUCUGGGCCGAUACUGACGCUGAGGAGCGAAAGCGUGGGGAGCGAACAGGAUUAGAUACCCUGGUAGUCCACGCUGUAAACGUUGGGCGCUAGGUGUGGGGGGGCCUCUCCGGUUCCCUGUGCCGCAGCUAACGCAUUA